Molecule: ribosomal RNA, 93 nt
Filed under: uncultured bacterium
Lineage: Bacteria
Description: partial 16S ribosomal RNA
Source: RNAcentral
ACCGCCCGUCACACCAUGGGAGUUUGUUGCACCAGAAGCAGGUAGCUUAACCGCAAGGGGGGCGCUUGCCACGGUGUGGCCGAUGACUGGGUG